CGCAACGCCGGUGAUGUAGGCGCCGAGAUUGCCAAAGCCGCGCACGCGCACGCCGAGAAAUGCGCCGUCAGCAGCGAGCGCGAGUUCGCAAUGCACAUCCUGCGCGCGGCCGUGGCUGUCGGACAGAAAGCUUGUCGAGCGUUCGUCGGUCCAUUUCACCGCGCGGCCAAGCUCCCGUGCAGCGUGCAGGAUGCAGAUGUAUUCGGGAUAGUUCGCGUUCUUCAUGCCGAACGAUCCGCCGACAUGGUGAGUCCGCAGAUGGACCUUGUCGUUAGCCACGUUCAGCGUUUUCGCCAGCGACGUGCGGUUGCCGGCG
Molecule: unclassified non-coding RNA, 316 nt
Filed under: Hevea brasiliensis (rubber tree)
Lineage: Eukaryota; Viridiplantae; Streptophyta; Magnoliopsida; Malpighiales; Euphorbiaceae
Source: RNAcentral